GAUGAAGAACGCAGCGAACUGCGAUAAGUAAUGUGAAUUGCAGAAUUCAGUGAAUCAUCGAGUCUUUGAACGCACAUUGCGCCCCCUGGCAUUCCGGGGGGCAUGCCUGUCCGAGCAUCAUUGCUGCCCUUCAAGCCCGGCUUGUGUGUUGGGUCGUCGUCCCCCCCGGGGGACGGGCCCGAAAGGCAGCGGCGGCACCGCGUCCGGUCCUCGAGCGUAUGGGGCUUUGUCACCCGCUCGAUUAGGGCCGGCCGGGCGCCAGCCGGCGUCUCCAACCUUCUAUUUUACCAGGUUGACCUCGGAUCAGGUAGGGAUACCCGCUGAACUUAAGCAUAUCAAUAAGCGGAGGA
This 350-nucleotide unclassified non-coding RNA is filed under the name soil metagenome. RNAcentral describes it as "partial contains 5.8S ribosomal RNA, internal transcribed spacer 2, and large subunit ribosomal RNA". The stretch from base 1 to 120 matches the Rfam family "5.8S ribosomal RNA", at positions 35 to 154 of the family's 154-position model. The record is from RNAcentral.